Molecule: ribosomal RNA, 254 nt
Filed under: uncultured bacterium
Lineage: Bacteria
Description: partial 16S ribosomal RNA
Rfam family: Bacterial small subunit ribosomal RNA
Source: RNAcentral
UACGUAGGGGGCAAGCGUUGUCCGGAUUUAUUGGGCGUAAAGAGCUCGUAGGUGGUUCGGUAAGUCGGAUGUGAAAUCUCCAGGCUCAACCUGGAGGGGUCAUUCGAUACUGCCGUGACUAGAGUUCGGUAGGGGAGUGUGGAAUUCCUGGUGGAGCGGUGAAGUGCGCAGAUAUCAGGAGGAACACCGGUGGCGAAGGCGGGUCUCUGGGCCGAUACUGACGCUGAGGAGCGAAAGCGUGGGGAGCGAACAGG